AGCAACAAUAAGCGGAGGAAAAGAAACCAACAGGGAUUGCCCUAGUAACGGCGAGUGAAGCGGCAACAGCUCAAAUUUGAAAUCUGGCGUCUUUGGCGUCCGAGUUGUAAUUUGCAGAGGGCGCUUUGGCAUUGGCAGCGGUCCAAGUUCCUUGGAACAGGACGUCACAGAGGGUGAGAAUCCCGUACGUGGUCGCUAGCCUUUACCGUGUAAAGCCCCUUCGACGAGUCGAGUUGUUUGGGAAUGCAGCUCUAAAUGGGAGGUAAAUUUCUUCUAAAGCUAAAUACUGGCCAGAGACCGAUAGCGCACAAGUAGAGUGAUCGAAAGAUGAAAAGCACUUUGGAAAGAGAGUUAAAAAGCACGUGAAAUUGUUGAAAGGGAAGCGCUUGCAGCCAGACUUGCCUGUAGUUGCUCAUCCGGGUUUCUACCCGGUGCACUCUUCUAUAGGCAGGCCAGCAUCAGUUUGGGCGGUUGGAUAAAGGUCUCUGUCAUGUACCUCUCUUCGGGGAGAACUUAUAGGGGAGACGACAUGCAACCAGCCUGGACUGAGGUCCGCGCAUCUGCUAGGAUGCUGGCGUAAUGGCUGUAAGCGGCCCGUCUUGAAACACGGACCAAGGAGUCUAACAUCUAUGCGAGUGUUUGGGUGUCAAGCCCGAGCGCGUAAUGAAAGUGAACGGAGGUGGGAACCUUUCGGGGUGCACCAUCGACCGAUCCUGAUGUCUUCGGAUGGAUUUGAGUAAGAGCAUAGCUGUUGGGACCCGAAAGAUGGUGAACUAUGCUUGAAUAGGGUGAAGCCAGAGGAAACUCUGGUGGAGGCUCGCAGCGGUUCUGACGUGCAAAUCGAUCGUCAAAUUUGGGCAUAGGGGCGAAAGACUAAUCGAACUAU
Molecule: ribosomal RNA, 886 nt
Filed under: Ascochyta neopisi
Lineage: Eukaryota; Fungi; Ascomycota; Dothideomycetes; Pleosporales; Didymellaceae
Description: Ascochyta sp. WJL-2020a partial large subunit ribosomal RNA
Rfam family: Eukaryotic large subunit ribosomal RNA
Source: RNAcentral